AAGGGGUAAACAAGGUUUCCCUCUGUCUUUAGUUCGGGACAGUUGCACCAUGGUGUGCUCUGGCGUGCGUGUGCACCAGCUCAUCCUGCUUGGGAUUCUUCAUGGGCAUCACAGCUGUGACUUGAUCUCUUGUCAGUUUUGAAAAAAAUCUCUCUGAACGUUGCAACCAUCCUCUUUUUCCCUCACAUUUGUGACUCCAGUGACCUCUGCAUCAGACCUUUCCUUGUGUCACAGUCUUUAAUCUGGAUGUGCUCAUUUGGACCGUAUUCCAGGCUACUGGUCCUGUUUUCAGUUACGUCUAUUCUGUUAUCCAUUGAGCUCUCAAUUUGUUUUUGUAUUUUUAUGUUGUGGAAUUUCCACUUGGUUCUUUAUUACUGUUUCUAGUUCUCUGCCCAAACUUUGCAGUCUUGUCUUUUAAUUCCUUGAACACAUCACUCCUAAUGAUUGUAAAGUCAGUGUUCAGGAGUCCACCGUGGGCUGCAUCUGGGGCUUUUUCUGUUGUUCAUCAUUUUCUGUUUUGCAGUCACGUUUCCUCAGGAGCUGGAUGGUUUUUCAGGCAGGGCACAUUGCUCAUGAAAACUGCUGGAGGCGUGUUGAAGUUCUGGACAGCGUCGGCGUCCCCCAGAGGACACUCGCUUUGUCCCUGGGAAUAAGCGGAGCCACAUGUAGGAGCUUCUCCAGCUGCUCUUCUCCCCUGGAGUUUUGUGAACGCUGCGUCAUUGACUUUCAUAUUCAGUGUCACUGUAAAAAGUUUAGGAGAACCCAGUUGCAGUUCGUCCUCUACUUGGGGGCUUGAAUACCUUUUUUUUUUUUUUUAAAGCUUCAGCAAUCUAACCAGGGCGUCUGAUGCCAGCUGUUUUGUUUCCUGCUACAUUCUUUGUCCCCUUUGUCGUAAGAGUCAUUUCAGGAAAUUUCCUUUGUAUUUUACCUCUGAGCAGUCUGUACUGUCACCAGUCUCCGCAUUCUAGAGACACGCAUCCUUCUUACCUGCUCUGGUCAUUGUCCGCCUCCCUCCUUCUGGUUUCCAUCUCCUUGUCCGCAUUCACCGAGACCCCCCAGCCCUUCCCCCCUGCCCUGAACACAUCUCCACCAUGUCCUUUCUACGUCCGGCUGCUUCAGCUUUAGUUGCUGCUCUGCAGAACUGACCAGUGUGUUCCAUUGGUCCUGGUUUCCACGAUGACUCUCAUAUUUACUUAGCUCCUUGUCCUUUCUCCUGUCUUGUCUUUGACCCCUUGUCCUAGUGAGUUUUGCUUUUGGUGAGUUCCUCCCGGCUUGUGGGGAGCUGGCCUUGCUGCUUGUUUCCUCCCAGCACGUUCUGGAGGCUGUGCCCCUCCUGCUGUGUCCGCACCCUCUCCCCGCUGGUUCGCCCGCUGCUCUGAGUCUUAAUUACAGAAACACAGGUUGAGCAGCUGCUGACUGCCCAGACUCGUGAAGUUCUACUAUUGGACUGUUGGAAAGCUCUGUGGGGCAUAACUACCAUCACCCCCUUUUAGAGAAGGGGGCACUGAGACCCAGAGAGUUUAACUGGUCACCACAUCACAUGGGCAGAGAGUGGCAGCGCCGACCACGGAGGACAGAGCGGCCUUCGUCAUCCAGUGUGCCUUCCGGAAGGUCCUGGCGAGAAAGGAGCUGGCCCAACGUCAGCAGGAGCGCCGGGACUACCUGGAGCAGAUGGAGAAGCUGCAGCGGGAGCCAGGAAGAAGUCAAAGAAAAGAAACCAACUUCAAAUAUAAAGACACAAAUAGGUGAAAAUUAAAAGGACAGAACAAACAUGCCAGGAUCACACUAAAUAUAAGAAAGCUCAAAUGACUUUACUAACAUCAGACAAAGUACACCUCAGAAAAGAGAGUACUUCUUGGGCUAGAAGAGCCGUCUCAUCAGGAGGACGUGGAGUCCUAGACUUACACGGCUGCUAACAGAGCGUCGAAACACCCGGAGCAAAAACUGGCAGCACUGCCAGGAGGAAUAAACCCGUGACUACAGGGUCAGGUCUCCACAUCUCUGCCUCAGUAACGGGUGAAGCAGGCAGGCAGAGGAGCAGCCAGGACGCAGAAGAAGUAAGUGGCACUGCCGCCCGUUACGUGUCCAUCCGCGGGCCGCCCUCUUCACUCACACGUCUGCCCGGCGUUGUUUUGUAAGUUUAUCUGUUCAAUCCAAUCUUUUCCCCCAGUAGUUGCUUUACUCUUUCAUCAGUUCAGUCUCUCGUUGACGUACGAGGCGCUUAUUGAUAAACCUACCAGUCUACCAACUCAUUAGUGUAUCCGUUUCACCCUUACUAUCACCUGAAAUCAUCCCUCAUUUAUUUACCUUUUGUUAAUUCAAACAUCCAUCCAUCCAUCCACACAUUCAUGUUUAUUUGACAGAAAAUUCUGAGAAAGCAGGGACUGUGUUUAUUUCACUUCACAAUUGUAUUCUCCAGGGUUAUGACAUUUUGGUUGUCAUAUGAAAGGCACUCAGAAAUUCUGUUGACUGACUGAAAUCAUCCAUCCUUCAUCUGUCCGUUUGCUCAGCCAACCAUCUACUUACCUCAGUUAUUCAUCCAUGAUGUCCCUUCAGCUAUUCAUUUUCCAUGUAUCGAGUUAUUAUUUCAUCUCUUCAUUCAAUUAAUCCAACCUCCAUUCUUUUAACAUUUAAUUCAUUCGUUAUUCAUCUGCUGGCUCAUCUGUCCAUUCAUUGGCUCAUUUGUACAUUCACUCAUUACAUUAUCCUUUUGUAUGUUUGCUCAUUUAGUUUUCCAUGUAUUCCAGUUCUACUUACAAACUAACUUUUGGCAAAUUUUUAAACUUAUUUGCAUCUAAGUUCCCGUAUACUCAUAAAUGGGGUAAUAAGAGUCCCUGUGUUCUGAAGAUGGAUGAGCUAGUGCGUGGAACUCCUUGGCACAACCCCUGCACGAGUGCUCUGUGGCCGGUGGCUACUGCUCUUCCAGGUGAGUCCUCAGUGUCUUUCAGUUACCGAUUCAUGGACUCCUCUUGUGACUUCACUCCUUCAUCCCUUCUUGUCCAUCUGGCCACCCAUUCAUUUAUCCACUCCUUGAUUCUACACAUCUUCAGCCUUUCUUUUGUAAAAGAACACUGUACUAAUCAAAAUUGUGUGGUUUGAUUAAAUGAUGUGAGAAAUGCUCAUGGUCUAACCACCUGAGUCAAGAAAUAACAUAAACCCUUGCCAGAACCCCAACCCUCCCUUCUGAGAAGCCCACUGCUGGGCCUGUGUCACUCCUGGAGGAGUGUGGUGGGACCUCCGAGGGGCAGGAGUUGUGAGGUUUGGGGUGAGCGUGGCCCCAAGCGCUGUGUCCUGCAGAUGGAGGUCUGCGAGGAGACAGCAGAGGCAGGGAACUACAGCUGGACCCUGUGUGUGCGGUGACAGAAGACAGCCUGGGGCCGGUGGGCAGGG
Non-coding RNA from Vicugna pacos (alpaca), 3390 nucleotides. The record is from RefSeq and is a predicted model, not a curated record. NCBI's taxonomy places the organism in Eukaryota, Metazoa, Chordata, Mammalia, Artiodactyla, Camelidae.